UAAAAGCAGGACCCUGUAUUAGCUCAGCCCUGCAGAGGCUGAGAUCUUACGAGAGAGACGGAAUGCAAUCAGGCACAUUUGGCUCAGUACAGCCGCAAUUAAGAUGUUUAACACUCAAUAAUCAGAUCAGUAAUUCAAAAACAACAUCAUGCCCGAGAGAAGCAGAAGAUCUUUUCAGGUUGCAUCUGAGAAAGAUCUUCAAACUUGAUGAUCAAACUUCAAACUUAACAUAUAUAUGGUAAUUUUUCAAGUAAAUUAAUAGUGUUUAUGGCUGACAUCCUACAAAUGUCAAACUGUUGUUUUACUUCCUUUUGGCAAGCACGUUAAUAAAAAAGUUCUGUUCCAUAUA
Long non-coding RNA from Hemicordylus capensis (graceful crag lizard), 349 nucleotides. RefSeq lists it as uncharacterized. The transcript has 2 exons. Lineage: Eukaryota; Metazoa; Chordata; Lepidosauria; Squamata; Cordylidae. The record is from RefSeq and is a predicted model, not a curated record.